Triticum dicoccoides is the source of this 2017-nucleotide RNA transcript. It is a transcript of the gene named transcription termination factor MTERF4, chloroplastic-like, with no coding region annotated. The transcript has 4 exons. Lineage: Eukaryota; Viridiplantae; Streptophyta; Magnoliopsida; Poales; Poaceae. The record is from RefSeq and is a predicted model, not a curated record.
UCCCCAAUCUCUCUCCCCGUCACCCGCCGCCCGCGUCGUCUCUCCCGGCGACGACGUGCCGGCCUCUCCUCUCCUCCCAAGCUCCCCAGCCGACCACCCCGCCCGCCCCUGACUUCCUCUUUCCCGCGCUUCUCCCUCCCACAGCCACCGCCGCUCGAGCUGCCACGCCAGCCGCAGCGGCUACAGCCCUCCCCUCUGCUCCCACCGCCGUCGAGGGUGCCCCCGCGGCGCUCCAGUCGCCGCCGUGAUCCGCAGCAGGCCACGCGCAGUCGAAACCCAUCGGAAUCCCCGCGCCGCCAUGCUUCGCCUCCAAAGCUGCAUCGCCUCCCAUCUCCUCUCGUCUCCAUCCGCCCAUCUCCGCCGCCUCCUCUCCGCGGCCGCGCCCGCCGUUUCCCCGAGCACGGGAUUCGCUGCGGAGGAGUACCUCGUCGCCACCUGCGGCCUCACCCGAGCGCAGGCCCUCAAGGCUUUCCCGAAGGUCUCCCACCUCAAGUCCCCCUCCAAUCCCGACGCCGUCCUCGCCUUCCUCGGAGGCCUCGGCCUCUCCAGAGCCGACGUCGCCGCCGCCGUCGCCAAGGACCCCAGGCUACUCUGCGCCCGCGUGGAGAGUACUCUGGCCCCCAACUUCGCUGCGCUCAGCGGCAUCGGGCUGUCGCGCUCCGAGAUCGUGCGCCUCCUCCGCUUGCGCUGCAGAUCUGUCGUCUCCAAGCUGCAGUACUACCUGACCCUCUUCGGCUCCUCCGAGGCCUUCCUUCAGGCGCUGAAGUUCAACUGCAACCUCCUCACACACAGCAUCGAGAGUGCGGUCGAGCCCAAUGUAGCGUUGCUGCGGGAGUGCGGGCUGGGUGAUCGCGACAUUUCCAAGCUAUGCGUUGGUAUGCCAUGGCUGCUGACUGCCAACCCAGAAUGCAUCGGAUCAAUGGUUGCUCGCGCCGACGGUCUUGGCGUGAGCCGGGAAUCUCCCAUGUUCAGGCACGCGAUGCAUGCUGUUGCAUUCCACAGCGAGGAGAAGAUUGCUGCCAAAAUGGAGUACCUGAAAAAGACGCUCAGGUGGUCGGAUGCUGAGGUGCGCAUUGCUUUGUCCAAGUCUCCAAUGAUGCUGAGGAGUUCUGAGGGCAUGGUGCAGCGCAUGUCAGAGUUCCUCUACUCUGAGAUGGGGUUGGAACCAGCAUACAUUGCUCAUCGUCCGGCAAUGCUCGCUUACAGUCUGGAGCGCCGGAUCAGACCCAGGUACUACGUUGUUAAGUAUCUUAAGGAAAAUGGAUUGGUAAGUCGUGACCGGGACUACUAUUCCGCACUCACGCCGUCCGAGAUGGUAUUCUUGGAGAAGUACAUAUGCCCUCACAAGCAAGCUGCGCCGUACCUUGCUGAAGACUAUGAUGAUGCUUGCAGAGGACAAGUGCCCGAUAGGUUCAGAUUUGCAUGAACCAAGAACAAGGCCACUGUUGUUGUGUAGCAAGAUCCUCCUCCUUGCUAUAUAGGAGUAUUAGCAUUCUCUUAAUCUUUGAGUGUUUUUAAUCUGUGGGCAUGCACCUGCAAUACCUCAUGACAAGUGAUGAUCCCUUUGAGUAGGUUUCCCGUUUGUCUAUUAAAAGUGUUCCUUUAUCCUUAUCAGUGUGCCAGCUCAUACACCGUACCGAGCCCGUCUCUGUUGUACUUCGUAAGAAUGAGCUAUAUACUGACUACCUCUUGACCUUGUGUUGGCAUAGCAGAGUACUCAUGGAUGGGCCGGGUACUGGUAUAUGGAACUCGGAUGUCAGGUUAGAUAUCAUAAGCGUUGCAAUGCCUUCCAUCAAUAAUGAUGGUGUUCCACGUCUCCAAGUCCAACCAGGGAGGCGCCGCUCGAGUCGAAUACCUAGGAAACUGUAAACCCUGUCCGCCAUUUGUGCGGAUCCCAGGCUUGUAAAUGUGGAAAAUUUGGCUGAAUUAUUGACUCCCGGUUGGUUAAAACAGAACCAGAGUCCCACGGGCAUUGUGGUGGGCACGUCGUUCCCCUGCACUUGACAGGUUUUUCUCC